Non-coding RNA from Capsicum annuum, 107 nucleotides. Lineage: Eukaryota; Viridiplantae; Streptophyta; Magnoliopsida; Solanales; Solanaceae. The record is from Rfam.
UGAUGAUGGUAAGGGAAAUUACUGAGCAUACUUUUAAAUCUCUCCUAAGCUUGGUAAAGAUUCUCUCCUUUUUUCUGUCUAAAACUCAGAAUAUCACUUCUCAAGCG